This is a non-coding RNA of Oncorhynchus mykiss (rainbow trout), 1062 nucleotides long. The record is from RefSeq and is a predicted model, not a curated record. Lineage: Eukaryota; Metazoa; Chordata; Actinopteri; Salmoniformes; Salmonidae.
UAUGUAAUUUAACAAGGGACUCACAUCUCCGGGAAACAUUGAUUUUUAUUGUAUAAAGAGUUGUAGCCCUAAAUUUCUUUCACAUAGAGGGAGCUGCAGUAGGGUCAAAACAAGGCAGUAACAGCCUGUUCAGGAGUCUCUCUCAGUUAGGCCAAAUGGACACAAUGUCCAUCUGCCUAUAGUCCACUGUUUAUAAGACAUCUAUAGAAAGUCUGACCCUGUGCAUCUUCUAGCUGUCUCAGCAGACUCUCCUUUCUUACCAGGGCAUUGAGGCUGACACAGCGAGACGUCAGGCCGGCAGAGGACAUUGUGUAUGUAGGUCACCCAGCGACCUGUGUCGUAUCGUGUGACAGCCACAGCGGUCAUUGUCCCUGUGCUGUAGUGCCGGCCGCCCAGCGGGAGGUGGGAUAGGGAUUAGAGUGGACAGACCACAGUGGGGCUGAGCACAGAGGCCCCCAACACGUCAGCAUGAACUUUCUCAUUUCCUCCCUUAACGACUUUGACAUCAGGCCAGGCAGUGCAAUGUCCAGCCGCAUUACUCUCACCGGGCUUACAUUAUUCAGAAUGGCCGGAAUGGUGAAGGGAUACUGUAAGAGGCAGUGCUAGGGUUCAGAUGACUGGAGAGACAACAUGGUGAAGGGAAAGGAGGCAGUACUAGGGUUCAGAUGACUGGAGAGACAACAUGGUGAAGGGAUAGGAGGCAGUACUAGGGUUCAGAUGACUGGAGAGACAACAUGGUGAAGGGAUAGGAGGCAGUACUAGGGUUCAGAUGACUGGAGAGACAACAUGGUGAAGGGAUAGGAGGCAGUACUAGGGUUCAGAUGACUAGAGAGACAACAGGAGGCAGUACUAGGGUUCAAAUGACUGGAGAGACAACAUGGUGAAGGGAUAGGAGGCAGUACUAGGGUUCAGAUGACUGGAGAGACAACAUGGUGAAGGGAUAGGAGGCAGUACUAGGGUUCAGAUGACUGGAGAGAACAUGGUGAAGGGAUAGGAGGCAGUACUAGGGUUCAGAUGACUGGAGAGACAACAUGGUGAAGGGAUAGGAGGCAGUACUAGGGU